RNAcentral lists this ribosomal RNA (1550 nucleotides) under Klebsiella aerogenes. Its description in RNAcentral is "bacterial SSU rRNA". It matches the Rfam family "Bacterial small subunit ribosomal RNA". The record is from RNAcentral. Lineage: Bacteria; Pseudomonadati; Pseudomonadota; Gammaproteobacteria; Enterobacterales; Enterobacteriaceae.
AAAUUGAAGAGUUUGAUCAUGGCUCAGAUUGAACGCUGGCGGCAGGCCUAACACAUGCAAGUCGAGCGGUAGCACAGAGAGCUUGCUCUCGGGUGACGAGCGGCGGACGGGUGAGUAAUGUCUGGGAAACUGCCUGAUGGAGGGGGAUAACUACUGGAAACGGUAGCUAAUACCGCAUAACGUCGCAAGACCAAAGUGGGGGACCUUCGGGCCUCAUGCCAUCAGAUGUGCCCAGAUGGGAUUAGCUAGUAGGUGGGGUAAUGGCUCACCUAGGCGACGAUCCCUAGCUGGUCUGAGAGGAUGACCAGCCACACUGGAACUGAGACACGGUCCAGACUCCUACGGGAGGCAGCAGUGGGGAAUAUUGCACAAUGGGCGCAAGCCUGAUGCAGCCAUGCCGCGUGUAUGAAGAAGGCCUUCGGGUUGUAAAGUACUUUCAGCGAGGAGGAAGGCGUUAAGGUUAAUAACCUUGGCGAUUGACGUUACUCGCAGAAGAAGCACCGGCUAACUCCGUGCCAGCAGCCGCGGUAAUACGGAGGGUGCAAGCGUUAAUCGGAAUUACUGGGCGUAAAGCGCACGCAGGCGGUCUGUCAAGUCGGAUGUGAAAUCCCCGGGCUCAACCUGGGAACUGCAUUCGAAACUGGCAGGCUAGAGUCUUGUAGAGGGGGGUAGAAUUCCAGGUGUAGCGGUGAAAUGCGUAGAGAUCUGGAGGAAUACCGGUGGCGAAGGCGGCCCCCUGGACAAAGACUGACGCUCAGGUGCGAAAGCGUGGGGAGCAAACAGGAUUAGAUACCCUGGUAGUCCACGCCGUAAACGAUGUCGACUUGGAGGUUGUGCCCUUGAGGCGUGGCUUCCGGAGCUAACGCGUUAAGUCGACCGCCUGGGGAGUACGGCCGCAAGGUUAAAACUCAAAUGAAUUGACGGGGGCCCGCACAAGCGGUGGAGCAUGUGGUUUAAUUCGAUGCAACGCGAAGAACCUUACCUACUCUUGACAUCCAGAGAACUUAGCAGAGAUGCUUUGGUGCCUUCGGGAACUCUGAGACAGGUGCUGCAUGGCUGUCGUCAGCUCGUGUUGUGAAAUGUUGGGUUAAGUCCCGCAACGAGCGCAACCCUUAUCCUUUGUUGCCAGCGGUUCGGCCGGGAACUCAAAGGAGACUGCCAGUGAUAAACUGGAGGAAGGUGGGGAUGACGUCAAGUCAUCAUGGCCCUUACGAGUAGGGCUACACACGUGCUACAAUGGCAUAUACAAAGAGAAGCGACCUCGCGAGAGCAAGCGGACCUCAUAAAGUAUGUCGUAGUCCGGAUUGGAGUCUGCAACUCGACUCCAUGAAGUCGGAAUCGCUAGUAAUCGUAGAUCAGAAUGCUACGGUGAAUACGUUCCCGGGCCUUGUACACACCGCCCGUCACACCAUGGGAGUGGGUUGCAAAAGAAGUAGGUAGCUUAACCUUCGGGAGGGCGCUUACCACUUUGUGAUUCAUGACUGGGGUGAAGUCGUAACAAGGUAACCGUAGGGGAACCUGCGGUUGGAUCACCUCCUUACCUUAAAGAA